RNAcentral lists this ribosomal RNA (425 nucleotides) under uncultured Rummeliibacillus sp. Its description in RNAcentral is "bacterial SSU rRNA". It matches the Rfam family "Bacterial small subunit ribosomal RNA", at positions 356 to 774 of the family's 1533-position model. Lineage: Bacteria; Bacillati; Bacillota; Bacilli; Caryophanales; Caryophanaceae. The record is from RNAcentral.
AGGGAUUCUUCCCCAAGGGACGAAAGUCGAAUGGAGCACCGCCGCGGGGGUGAUGAAGUUUUUCGGAUCGUAAAACUCUGUGUAAAGGGAAGACCAAGUACUUCAGGAAAUGUACGAACCUUGACGUACCUUAUUAGAAAGCCACGACUAACUACGUGCCAGCAGCCGCGGUAAUACGUAGGUGGCAAGCGUUGUCCGGAAUUAUUGGGCGUAAAGCGCGCGCAGGUGGUUUCUUAAGUCUGAUGUGAAAGCCCACGGCUUAACCGUGGAGGGUCAUUGGAAACUGGGAGACUUGAGUGCAGAAGAGGAAAGUGGAAUUCCAAGUGUAGCGGUGAAAUGCGUAGAGAUUUGGAGGAACACCAGUGGCGAAGGCGACUUUCUGGUCUGCAACUGACGCUGAGGCGCGAAAGCAUGGGGAGCAAACA